UCCAGCCUGCCGCGUGAGUGAUGAAGGCCUUAGGGUUGUAAAGCUCUUUUGUCCGGGACGAUAAUGACGGUACCGGAAGAAUAAGCCCCGGCUAACUUCGUGCCAGCAGCCGCGGUAAUACGAAGGGGGCUAGCGUUGCUCGGAAUUACUGGGCGUAAAGGGCGCGUAGGCGGCUUAUUAAGUCAGGGGUGAAAGCCUGUGGCUCAACCACAGAAUUGCCUUUGAUACUGGUUGGCUUGAGUCCGGAAG
This 249-nucleotide ribosomal RNA is filed under the name uncultured bacterium. RNAcentral describes it as "partial 16S ribosomal RNA". It matches the Rfam family "Bacterial small subunit ribosomal RNA", at positions 387 to 654 of the family's 1533-position model. The record is from RNAcentral.